CCUAUAGUACACUAACAGCAUUAACUGUGACACCCUUCAGGUAACAGCAUUAAAGAAAACAUAAAGCUGAACAUCAUGGCACAUGCCUGUGAUCACCACAGAGGCAAGAGGAUCUCUGUGAGUUUGAGGAACUGUGGUACAGUUUUUUACAUAGCAAAAAUACUAAGCUGAGAUGGUGACCCAUGUCAUUAACCCAAGCACUCAAGAGGCAGAGACAAGUGGAUCUUCCAGGCCAGCCAGGGCCAUGUAGUAAGACCAUGCCUCAAAAAGAAAGAAGAAAAAAGGAAAGGGGGA
This is a long non-coding RNA of Acomys russatus (golden spiny mouse), 294 nucleotides long. RefSeq lists it as uncharacterized. NCBI's taxonomy places the organism in Eukaryota, Metazoa, Chordata, Mammalia, Rodentia, Muridae. The transcript is spliced from 2 exons. The record is from RefSeq and is a predicted model, not a curated record.